This 29-nucleotide small RNA is filed under the name Bombyx mori (domestic silkworm). RNAcentral describes it as "ovarian small RNA-30651". Lineage: Eukaryota; Metazoa; Arthropoda; Insecta; Lepidoptera; Bombycidae. The record is from RNAcentral.
UGAACAAUGCCAAACUGUUGAUGGAAAAU